This 389-nucleotide long non-coding RNA is filed under the name Malus domestica (apple). RNAcentral describes it as "long non-coding RNA (MDOM_LNC015992)". The record is from RNAcentral. Lineage: Eukaryota; Viridiplantae; Streptophyta; Magnoliopsida; Rosales; Rosaceae.
ACCCUAAGAAAAGACUUGAGUACUUUGAUCUAACGGAGGACAUGACACAAAUGAGCGCAAUGGCGUUCUAGGAUUCAUAUAGCCGACCCCACUUAGUGGGAAAAGGCUUUGUUGUUGUUGUUGUUGUUGUAAGUUGUCAUACAACUUAAGUCAAUGGGCUUGACGUUCGAAGCCCAUUGGGCCUUGAGGCCUAAAACUAACCCGUGGUCUUUUAACGAACUUUAUUCGUUUGAUUAAUUAACAUAUUAAUUAAUCCUUGCCAUAAAUAAUUAAAUCAUUUAAUUAUCCUUACUCAUCUCCUUUGUUUCUUCAAUCUCUACCUUACACGGUGUACGAUCCAUUAGGUUCCUUUUAGCGAGGCAGUGGGCGAUUAGAACUCUUUCAAAUCA